GAGAGUCUCUCUCGCUCUCGCUAGCUCUCGCACACACACACAGACACACACAGACACACACACACCCGCCCGCUCGGCUCCGCUCCCGAGCUGCCUCAGCAAGGAGGAGCCCGGACGGAAAACACCCGGGCAGCAAGGGUAUGGAAGUGCAGUUCCCGGAGAGUGAACCUGGCGAUGGAGCGCAGCUCUCCCCGAAACCUGAGGCUGUUUCGCUCCCUAGGAGACUGAGAAGAGGGGACCCUGGAUGUCAGCCCAAUCUCCGGGUUUUGUUUGCCUUGAUUUGAGGCAGAUUUCCUCAUUCAGCUCUGGGAACUGACAGGUCCAACUAUCCACACCCUAGAGCUGCCUCCUCACAUAGCUACUGAGACUGACUGACUGACUCACCAGCAUCCUUCUGUUGUCAAAGACCCAUCUCCUUUAUUUGUAUCUUCUGACUAGCUGGUCAGUAAGUCCUAAUAAUAAUCAUGUUUCACGUCUCAGAAAUCUAAUAAUCAAGUUACUCAUUCUCAUAAAUUGCAGCUAAGCUAUUUGUGUUAGUCACAUUUUAUUCCCACUUUAAAGGCAGGGAAACUGAAACAGGAAAAUUAACACAUUUGCCUGAGGCCACACAUGGAUUUAAGAGUAGAUCCAGGACUGGAACUGAAUUUAGACCAAGCUCCCUCUUAAAGAUGCUCAAGUUCAAUAUGGAAAAGGCUUCUUAAAAAAAAAAAAAAAAAAGUAACAUAAACCUUACUUUUUGUCAGUUUUGUAUAUUAGUCAAAAUACACAUCCCUUUUUUUAGAUCACAUUUCCUUUCCUAAAGAUGAGAUUUAUCCAGCUUUUUUAAAAGUGUGGUGAUACCUUUCAACUACAUAGGGCCGUUUACUCUGGAAACAAGAAACAUUUAAUAUGAGAUUGUGAGCUGUAACAGGAACAGAAUUGCUCAUUAUUAGGUUACUGUAAACAGUGUUUGCUGGAUGUUAUGUAGUUCCAGGCCAACAAAAUAUAAUGAGCAGUCCAUCAUUAGUAUAGAUAAGGUGCUGUUGCUUACUUCGUGUGCUUCUGUUUUCACCAUCAUGCUCCUUCAGUGCUUUUGGUAUCAAAAUACUUAGCAUGGGUCUAAACACUGAAAAACGUACGGGGCAACCACAUACUGCUGCUGAGAGUUAUGAUUGAUACCAUUAAGCAGAGAGUUUUACCAAGCUGUGUCACUCAGAUCAAUGAAACAAGAUGUAUAUUGCUGGACUUGUAGCUGUGACAUGUCAUCAAAGCGAUGUUAUGGUAUGACUGAGCGCAGGUGGCAUGCCUAAAAAGCAGGUGUACAAUAUAAAUUUCCUAUUACUGACACGUAGAUACUUCCUCUUCCGCAAUGUCCACCCCCAGAUGCUUGCUUGCCCAACCUUCUACAGGAACUACAGAAAGUCCUGCUCAUCCUGCUCAUCCCUGAUGGCUGGAAUUGUACAGUCAAAACCCUAUACAGAAUAAAUGUUCACAUAUUUUUUUAUGUAUUUAUGCUGACAGCUCCAUUUUGAGCAUUUUUAGAGUCCUGAUUUGAGGGAAGUGGGUGCAAAUCUUAUUCAAAUAGUCAUUCUCCAAUACCAUUAGCAUUACCUGCCAAAAAUGAAAGUGCCAUAUGAAUCACAGUGAGCCACUCAUGAAUUUGUGGAUUAGAGCCUGCCAAGGAGCACCAGAAAUCCACAUGAUUUCAAAGUGCUAUGAGUUUUAGGGAUUUGCACAACUUGUAAAAGUGCAUUUAUCCAGGAACCAUCUUAUGGAUGACCCAUCCUAUAAGGACUACAGACAUAGCCAAUUCAAGUGAACGACAAUAUUAACUGAAAAUACUUCUGUUCAAAUCUUUCUCUUUCAAGUGAGGUAGUGAAAGUUGUGGUUCUGCUAAUUGAAACUGUCAGAGGCCCUUCCUGAGGUGCCCCUUACUGAAGUGCUGCUGUGACAUAGAGAUGUGGAAAUACGCCUUUGUGUGAGAAGAGCUAUCAGAUCCUCUGGGAAAUAUCACAGAUGCUUUCCAGUUCCUUUCAGACAUGUAAAUAUCUUUAUCUUUAGACAGGAGUAGAGAGGGGUGGGAAGUGCAGCGAGGAGUGGAGUGGGGUUAAAAGCACCCACAUAAAUCCAGGAACCAGAUAAAUACCUGUGGGGUUUUUUUUCUGUAUCUGAUAUUAGCUGGGGCUUGAAAUGAAAUGUUCAUUAUUAAGAAGAAAUGCUGCAUGGACGUGUGCAUACUUGAGAGUUAUGUUGACCCAUGGUUGAUAGAGAAGGCCAUCUUCUGCCUGAAAUUACAGAUGGCCAGCAGAGCUUUCAGUAACGCUCAGAACGCUUAGGUCAUUCUCCAGUAAUAUGUAUCUAACCAAGUAUGGUUUAUUUCCAGCUUGUAUAUGGCUAAUGCUGUAGCAGUGAAAAACACUACAUGUUUCUUCUUAUGAUUGCUUGCCUUCUUCAUGGUUUGCUUUAAGCUAAGCACAUCAGAAACUGAAAAUAACAUUUGCGUCUUUUUUUCCCUCUUAACAUAUAAAAACAGCAGCCUAAGUUUUGUAAUCUAUUUUUAUGUUAGUACUUGUGAAACAUAGCAAAAAAACCUGCUUACCAGCACGGGCUACACAGAGCUGUCUCAGCACCUUGAUGAAAUGUUAAGACUUGGUUUGAAUAACUAUAUUCCAACAGGUAUUAGUGUUAUCUGUCAGAUGAAAAUGACGCUGAACGACUACAACGAGGCUGGAGUGGCUUUCUGUGCAUGUUUUAAAUGCAAGUGGCCAUUACCACAGUGGUACCAUAAUGGUGGCUCAGUGGAAGACACUCAGAUAACUUUUUCUGAAUGUGGCUGCUACUUUCACUGCAUUUCUGUAGUCUUUUGAUUAUUCUACUCUUUGUUGGUUAGACACCAAUCUCCUGAGCUUAGGCCUAUGCCACCUCACUACCUGAAUGUUUUUCCUGAAAAUGUGUUGACUGAAAUGUGCAUCAUGUCAAUAGUAACGAAUUCAUCUGUCUGUGUCCACACUGGCUUAGGUUUCUUCCAGUCAUUCAUUAAAGGUUCAUGUUUACAGGCCCUGAUGCUACACAGUACCUCAGUCCAUUCAGCUUCUCUCCAAGGUGACAACUAUUUUCUGCUCCACAUCUCUGUUACAGGGCAUCUUUUGAUUACCUAAAAUUGUAAACUGCACCCUGUACGUUUCCUUAAAACAUCUGCUUUACGGAAGAGAAGAUCAACUUGUUGCAGGUUCAUCAGUGACAUCAGGCUCACUUCUCUUUUGCCUGACUGCCCUCUCCAUCUUCUUUCAGUCUAAAUUCAUAACUUUUGAAAGGAUUGAAGGAGUUGUUUUAUUAUUUGUGUGAACCUGCACAUUGUCUGUUCUGCUUUUCUCCUUCCUCUUGGUGUCUGGUUCGCCUUGGCUGCUUUUAAAAAUUCUGUUGCCUCUAGUGAGGGACUGCCAGAUUAAACCAGUGAAGAGAAACCAGGUGACUGUCUACUUUCACAAAUAUAGGUUGUGUAUAAUAAAUUCAGGUUUUACAUCUAUGCAAAUUAAAAUCAUCAUAUGAUUCUGACUACAUGCAUUUUUUAUCAAAUAUGGCAUAUAUUUCACAAAUUAUAUUUAACUUAUAGUCAUGUUGCUAUUCUGAAUACCUAACUAGGAGUUACAAGGUGUGCCACUAGAUCUUAGUAAAUGGGCUUAUGUAAACAAGAAAUAAGAGAAAAUCACCUUUUUUUCUUGUAUUCCUGCUAAGUGCGGUGGAAAGGCUUUUCCUGCUAUUACAUAUAGAGAGAAUAUAAGCACCUCACCACUGAGUUGCUUACAGACACAAGUACCUCUUGUUAUUAGAAGUGUAGAGAUUUUGUAAAAGCCUCUGCAGAACAUGCCCAGAAUAAGGAAGUUUUAAAGCAAUGUGUCUUUGGUCUGUAGUUUACCAUAUCUAGUUAGUAAGGCCUUCCACUAAUGCUUCUGUAUGGAGUGCAAGACAUUAGUCACAAUGUCAAACCAAACAUUUUACUUACGCAAAAUUAUAUCUUCACCUUAGGAAUAUUGUGAAGUGAGAACAGGAUUUAGCACAAUUCUUCCUUCGGGGUUUAUUGACAGACAGGGCAGUUUUAGUUUAAAGCCCUAAGCCCUGCAAUAUGAUUCCCAGCCAUAGGUGCACCACACUUUGAAUAAUCAAUCUGUCAGCUGAGCUAUGACAAGGAUUAUGCUGUGAAGGUAACAACUCAAUAUUUUCAACGUUAAGUGUCCUCACUAACUGCUGCGGGUUGGUCGCUUUUUUUUUCAUAAAUAAAAAUAAAUUUUGGUGAG
Molecule: long non-coding RNA, 4274 nt
Organism: Falco peregrinus (peregrine falcon)
Lineage: Eukaryota; Metazoa; Chordata; Aves; Falconiformes; Falconidae
Exons: 3
Source: RefSeq, a predicted model, not a curated record